This is a long non-coding RNA of Carlito syrichta (Philippine tarsier), 383 nucleotides long. RefSeq lists it as uncharacterized. The transcript has 2 exons. The record is from RefSeq and is a predicted model, not a curated record. Lineage: Eukaryota; Metazoa; Chordata; Mammalia; Primates; Tarsiidae.
CAGGAAAUCUGAGCUGGGUUCCCGAACACACCACAUAAUGUGUCAUCCAGACAACAGAUGGAUUCUUAAGCUUGGCCAACUGGGAUACUGGAAGCCAGGGAGGGCGAGGGACGCCCGGCUCCACUGGGCAGCUGGGCCCGCUGCAGACGCCAGAUGGGCUGAGCGAAGAGAGACCGGGCCCCAGAGAGAAAAUUGAGGCCCAGAGUAAGGAUGUGAUUUGCCUGAAGUCAUUUUAAAAAGUGGCAGAGUCGAACAGCACCAGCCUCCUGGCCCUGGCAUGCCAGCACUCAGAAGCACCAAGCAUAUCCAAGAAGUCAGAGAGAACAUACAGUUUGGUUUCAGGAUGCGCAUAUGCUGAUAAAUAAAGAAAUGCUGGACUCCCC